GACGAACGCUGGCGGCGUGCCUAAUACAUGCAAGUCGAACGCAGUGGGGACGGGUGAGUAACACGUGGGUAACCUCCCAUCAGAGGGGAUAACACUUGGAAACAGGUGCUAAACCGAUAUUGAUGUAUGGACCCGCGGUGCAUUAGCUAGUUGGUGAGGUAACGGCUCACCAAGGCCACGAUGCUUAGCUGGCCGGAGAGGAUGAUCGGCAACACUGGGACUGAGCCACGGCCCAGACUCCUACGGGAGGCAGCAGUAGGGAAUCUUCGGCAAUGGACGAAAGUCUGACCGAGCAACGCCGCGUGUGUGAAGAAGGUUUUCGGAUCGUAAAACACUGUCGUUAGAGAAGCGGUAUCUACCCAGAAAGCCCCGGCUAACUACGUGCCAGCAGCCGCGGUAAUAC
Molecule: ribosomal RNA, 403 nt
Filed under: uncultured bacterium
Lineage: Bacteria
Description: partial 16S ribosomal RNA
Rfam family: Bacterial small subunit ribosomal RNA
Source: RNAcentral